Molecule: ribosomal RNA, 253 nt
Filed under: uncultured bacterium
Lineage: Bacteria
Description: partial 16S ribosomal RNA
Rfam family: Bacterial small subunit ribosomal RNA
Source: RNAcentral
UACGUAGGGGGCUAGCGUUGUUCGGAAUUACUGGGCGUAAAGCGCACGUAGGCGGAUAUUUAAGUCAGGGGUGAAAUCCCAGAGCUCAACUCUGGAACUGCCUUUGAUACUGGGUAUCUAGAGUAUGGAAGAGGUGAGUGGAAUUCCGAGUGUAGAGGUGAAAUUCGUAGAUAUUCGGAGGAACACCAGUGGCGAAGGCGGCUCACUGGUCCAUUACUGACGCUGAGGUGCGAAAGCGUGGGGAGCAAACAGG